This 274-nucleotide ribosomal RNA is filed under the name uncultured prokaryote. RNAcentral describes it as "partial 16S ribosomal RNA". It matches the Rfam family "Bacterial small subunit ribosomal RNA", at positions 524 to 798 of the family's 1533-position model. The record is from RNAcentral.
CACGGGGUUGCGAGCGUUGUCCGGAAUUACUAGGCGUAAAGGGCAGGCAGGCGGAUCCAUAAGUUUAUCGUUUAAGGCGUCGGCUUAACCGGCGUAGGGCGAUAGAUACUGUGGAUCUGGAAUGCGGUUGGGGAAGACAGAAUUCCUGGUGUAGCGGUGGAAUGCGCAGAGAUCAGGAGGAAUACCGAAGGCGAAGGCAGUCUUCCAAGCCGUUAUUGACGCUCAACUGCGAAGGUGUGGGUAUCAAACAGGAUUAGAUACCCUGGUAGUCCCU